RNAcentral lists this ribosomal RNA (1481 nucleotides) under uncultured Bordetella sp. RNAcentral's name for it is "partial 16S-23S ribosomal RNA intergenic spacer". It matches the Rfam family "Bacterial small subunit ribosomal RNA". Lineage: Bacteria; Pseudomonadati; Pseudomonadota; Betaproteobacteria; Burkholderiales; Alcaligenaceae. The record is from RNAcentral.
GGUUCGAUCAUGGCUCAGAUUGAACGCUGGCGGGAUGCUUUACACAUGCAAGUCGAACGGCGGCACGGACUUCGGUCUGGUGGCGAGUGGCGAACGGGUGAGUAAUGUAUCGGAACGUGCCUAGUAGCGGGGGAUAACUGCAGAAAGCGUAGCUAAUACCGCAUACGCCCUUCGGGGGAAAGCAGGGGACCUUCGGGCCUCGCGCACUAUUAGAGCGGCCGAUAUCGGAUUAGCUAGUUGGUGGAGUAACGGCUCACCAAGGCGACGAUCCGUAGCUGGUUUGAGAGGACGACCAGCCACACUGGGACGAGACGGCCCAGACUCCUACACGGGAGGCAGCGGUGAAAUUUUGGACAAUGGGGAAACCUGAUCCAGCCAUCCCGCGUGUGCGAUGAAGGCCUUCGGGUUGUAAAGCACUUUUGGCAGGAAAGAAACGGCACGGGAUAAUACCCCGUGCGAAAGCUGACGGUACCUGCGGGAAUAAGCACCGGCUAACUACGUGCCAGCAGCCGCGGUAAUACGUAAGUGCAAGCGUUAAUCAAGUUACUGGGCGUAAAGCGUGCGCAGGCGGUUCGGAAGAAAGAUCUUGAAAUCCAGAGCCUAACUUUGGAACUGCAUUUUUAACUACCGAGCUGGGAGUGCUGUCAGAGGGAGGUGGAAUUCCGCGUGUAGCAGUGAAAUGCGUAGAUAUGCGGAGGAGCACACCGAUGGCGAAGGCAGCUUUCUGGGAUAACACUGACGCUCAUGCACGAAAGCGUGGGGAGCAAACAGGAUUAGAUACCCUGGUAGUCCACGCCCUAAACGAUGUCAACUAGCUGUUGGGGCCUUCGGGCCUUGGUAGCGCAGCUAACGCGUGAAGUUGACCGCCUGGGAAAUACGGUCGCAAGAUUAAAACUCAAAGGAAUUGACGGGGACCCGCACAAGCGGUGGAUGAUGUGGAUUAAUUCGAUGCAACGCGAAAAACCUUACCUACCCUUGACAUGUCUGGAAUCCCGAAGAGAUCUGGGAGUGCUCGCAAGAGAACCGGAACACAGGUGCUGCAUGGCUGUCGUCAGCUCGUGUCGUGAGAUGUUGGGUUAAGUCCCGCAACAGGCGCAACCCUUGUCAUUAGUUGCUACGAAAGGGCACUCUAAUGAGACUGCCGGUGACAAACCGGAGGAAGGUGGGGAUGACGUCAGUCCUCAUGGCCCAUAUGGGUAGGGCUUCACACGUCAUACAAUGGUCGGGACAGAGGGUCGCCAACCCGCGAGAGGGCAAUCCCAGAAACCCGAUCGUAGUCCGGAUCGCAGUCUGCAACUCGACUGCGUGAAGUCGGAGAUCGUAGUAAUCGCGGAUCAGCAUGUCGCGGUGAAUACGUUCCCGGGUCUUGUACACACCGCCCGUCACACCAUGGGAGUGGGUUUACCAAGUAGUUAGCCUAACCGUAAGGAGGCGAUUACCACGGUAGGAUUCAUGACUGGGGUGAAGUCGUAACAAGGUAA